Molecule: ribosomal RNA, 120 nt
Filed under: Anolis carolinensis (green anole)
Lineage: Eukaryota; Metazoa; Chordata; Lepidosauria; Squamata; Anolidae
Source: RNAcentral
CCUAGCUUUCCCAAAUACCUUGAAGGUACCAGAUCCCCUAUGAUCUUGGAAGCUAAGCAGGGUUUGGCUUGGUUAGUAUUUGCAAGGGAUACUGCCAGGAGAUACCAGGUGCUGUAAGGU